This 465-nucleotide ribosomal RNA is filed under the name Vreelandella stevensii. RNAcentral's name for it is "partial 16S ribosomal RNA". It matches the Rfam family "Bacterial small subunit ribosomal RNA", at positions 338 to 795 of the family's 1533-position model. Lineage: Bacteria; Pseudomonadati; Pseudomonadota; Gammaproteobacteria; Oceanospirillales; Halomonadaceae. The record is from RNAcentral.
CCUACGGGUGGCUGCAGUGGGGAAUAUUGGACAAUGGGGGGAACCCUGAUCCAGCCAUGCCGCGUGUGUGAAGAAGGCCCUCGGGUUGUAAAGCACUUUCAGUGAGGAAGAACGCCUGGUGGUUAAUACCCAUCAGGAAAGACAUCACUCACAGAAGAAGCACCGGCUAACUCCGUGCCAGCAGCCGCGGUAAUACGGAGGGUGCGAGCGUUAAUCGGAAUUACUGGGCGUAAAGCGCGCGUAGGUGGCUUGAUAAGCCGGUUGUGAAAGCCCCGGGCUCAACCUGGGAACGGCAUCCGGAACUGUCAAGCUAGAGUGCAGGAGAGGAAGGUAGAAUUCCCGGUGUAGCGGUGAAAUGCGUAGAGAUCGGGAGGAAUACCAGUGGCGAAGGCGGCCUUCUGGACUGACACUGACACUGAGGUGCGAAAGCGUGGGUAGCAAACAGGAUUAGAUACCCUUGUAAUC